RNAcentral lists this unclassified non-coding RNA (146 nucleotides) under soil metagenome. Its description in RNAcentral is "partial internal transcribed spacer 1". The record is from RNAcentral.
CCGAGUUUACAACUCCCAAACCCUGUGAACAUACCACUUGUUGCCUCGGCGGAUCAGCCCGCUCCCGGUAAAACGGGACGGCCCGCCAGAGGACCCUAAACUCUGUUUCUUAUAUGUAACUUCUGAGUAAAACCAUAAAUAAAUCA